GAUUGAACGCUGGCGUCCUGCUUUACCCAUGCACGUCGAACGGUAACCGGCCUUCGGGUGCUGACGAGUGGCGAACGGGUGAGUAAUGCAUCGGAACGUGCCCAGAGGUGGGGGAUAACGCAGCGAAAGCUGUGCUAAUACCGCAUGUGAUCUGAGGAUGAAAGCGGGGGACCAGGCAGCAAUGUUUGGCCUCGCGCCUUUGGAGCGGCCGAUGUCAGAUUAGGUAGUUGGUGGGGUAAAGGCCUACCAAGCCGACGAUCUGUAGCUGGUCUGAGAGGACGACCAGCCACACUGGGACUGAGACACGGCCCAGACUCCUACGGGAGGCAGCAGUGGGGAAUUUUGGACAAUGGGCGCAAGCCUGAUCCAGCAAUGCCGCGUGCGGGAAGAAGGCCUUCGGGUUGUAAACCGCUUUUGUACGGAACGAAAAGGCUCUGGCUAAUACCUGGGGCUGAUGACGGUACCGUAAGAAUAAGCACCGGCUAACUACGUG
RNAcentral lists this ribosomal RNA (493 nucleotides) under uncultured bacterium. Its description in RNAcentral is "partial 16S ribosomal RNA". It matches the Rfam family "Bacterial small subunit ribosomal RNA", at positions 27 to 507 of the family's 1533-position model. The record is from RNAcentral.